GUGCUUACUUCGGCAGCACAUAUACUAAAAUUGGAAAGAUACAGAGAUUGGCAUGGCCCCUGUCCAAGGAUGACACAAAUUCUUGAAGCAUUCAAUAUUAAA
This is a small nuclear RNA of Suncus etruscus (white-toothed pygmy shrew), 102 nucleotides long. The record is from RefSeq and is a predicted model, not a curated record. Lineage: Eukaryota; Metazoa; Chordata; Mammalia; Eulipotyphla; Soricidae.